This 72-nucleotide transfer RNA is filed under the name Singulisphaera sp. RNAcentral's name for it is "tRNA-Phe". It matches the Rfam family "tRNA". From Rfam's summary of the family: Transfer RNA (tRNA) molecules are approximately 80 nucleotides in length. Their secondary structure includes four short double-helical elements and three loops (D, anti-codon, and T loops). Further hydrogen bonds mediate the characteristic L-shaped molecular structure. tRNAs have two regions of fundamental functional importance: the anti-codon, which is responsible for specific mRNA codon recognition, and the 3' end, to which the tRNAs corresponding amino acid is attached (by aminoacyl-tRNA synthetases). tRNAs cope with the degeneracy of the genetic code in two manners: having more than one tRNA (with a specific anti-codon) for a particular amino acid; and 'wobble' base-pairing, i.e. permitting non-standard base-pairing at the 3rd anti-codon position. The record is from RNAcentral. Lineage: Bacteria; Pseudomonadati; Planctomycetota; Planctomycetia; Isosphaerales; Isosphaeraceae. RNAcentral also lists the same sequence under 1 other name.
GGGCUGGUAGCUGAGACGGUGUAGCGGCGGCCUGAAGAGCCGCAGACGUGGAUUCGAGCGCCACCCGGCCCA